GUUGGGCCAGCGGGACGGACAGACAGGCGGAUAGUGAGAGGUCGAGAGGGAGUAAGAGGUGUGUAGCGGUGAACGUUGGGCCAGCGGGACGGACAGACAGGCGGAUAGUGAGAGGUCGAGAGGGAGUAAGAGGUGUGUAGCGGUGAACGUUGGGCCAGCGGGACGGACAGACAGGCGGAUAGUGAGAGGUCGAGAGGGAGUAAGAGGUGUGUAGCGGUGAACGUUGGGCCAGCGGGACGGACAGACAGGCGGAUAGUGAGAGGUCGAGAGGGAGUAAGAGGUGUGUAGCGGUGAACGUUGGGCCAGCGGGACGGACAGACAGGCGGAUAGUGAGAGGUCGAGAGGGAGUAAGAGGUGUGUAGCGGUGAACGUUGGGCCAGCGGGACGGACAGACAGGCGGAUAGUGAGAGGUCGAGAGGGAGUAAGAGGUGUGUAGCGGUGAACGUUGGGCCAGCGGGACGGACAGACAGGCGGAUAGUGAGAGGUCGAGAGGGAGUAAGAGGUGUGUAGCGGUGAACGUUGGGCCAGCGGGACGGACAGACAGGCGGAUAGUGAGAGGUCGAGAGGGAGUAAGAGGUGUGUAGCGGUCAACGUUGGGCCAGCGGGACGGACAGACAGGCGGAUAGUGAGAGGUCGA
Long non-coding RNA from Oncorhynchus keta (chum salmon), 637 nucleotides. RefSeq lists it as uncharacterized. The transcript has 4 exons. NCBI's taxonomy places the organism in Eukaryota, Metazoa, Chordata, Actinopteri, Salmoniformes, Salmonidae. The record is from RefSeq and is a predicted model, not a curated record.